This 1053-nucleotide ribosomal RNA is filed under the name Triticum aestivum (bread wheat). RNAcentral's name for it is "partial small subunit ribosomal RNA". The record is from RNAcentral. Lineage: Eukaryota; Viridiplantae; Streptophyta; Magnoliopsida; Poales; Poaceae.
AUGUGCCCGCAUAGAGAUUGGUUUAGUACUUUUGAUUCCACUACUUCUGCUGGUUCCGUUUUGGGUUUUGAUAAUUCACCAUGCAAGAUUGAAGGCAUAGGUUCCGUUCGAAUCAAGAUGUUUGAUGGCAUGAUCAGAACUUUGACAGAUGUUCGGUAUAUUCCAAAGAUGAAGAUAAAUCUUAUCUCUAGUAGUGCCCUUGAUGGAAAGGGAUACAAAUAUUCAGGUGGAGAUAGUGUUUUGAAGGUCACCAAUGGCUCCCUUGUUGUGAUGAAAGGUGACUUAAGUUCGACCAAUGGUCUUUAUUACCUUCGAGGUUCUACUGUUUCAGGUAACGCUACUCUAGUUAUUUCAAAGAAUUCUGAUUGUGAUGCUGCUAACCUUUGGCAUAUGCGUCUUGGACAUAUGAGUGAACUUGGUUUAGCAGAGUUAAAUAAGAGAGGUCUCAUUGAUGGAUAUGAACCUGGUAAAUUGAAAUUUUGUGAGCAUUGUAUCUUCGGCAAGCACAAGAGGGUAAAGUUCAACACUUCAACUCAUACAACUGAAGGUAUUCUUGAUUAUGUGCAUUCUGAUUUAUGGGGACCAUCUCGCAAGAAGUCAUUAGGUGGUGCAAGUUACAUGCUGACUAUUAUUGAUGAUUAUCCGAGAAAAGUUUGGCCUUAUUUCUUGAAGCAUAAAUAUGAAGCAUUCUCAGCAUUUAAGGAGUGGAAGAUUAUGAUUGAAAGGCAAACUGAAAGGAAGGUAAAAAUACUUCGCACUGAUAAUGGUAUGGAAUUCUGUUCUAAGCAAUUUAAGAAUUAUUACAAGUCUGAAGGCAUUGUCAGACAUUACACCGUUCCUUAUACUCCUCAACAAAACGGUAUUGCUGAGCAUAUGAACAGGACCAUUAUUUCCAGAGCUCGUUGCAUGUUGUUCAAUGCAGGUUUGCAUAGACGUUUUUGGGCUGAGGCCGCUUCCACUGCUUGUUAUCUCAUUAACCGUUCACCAUCUAUUCCUCUUAAUAAGAAAACUCUAAUUGAGGUAUGGUUUGGUUCACCUGCUGAUUAUUCAUAG